Molecule: ribosomal RNA, 1524 nt
Filed under: Salmonella enterica
Lineage: Bacteria; Pseudomonadati; Pseudomonadota; Gammaproteobacteria; Enterobacterales; Enterobacteriaceae
Also listed under: 1 other name
Description: partial 16S ribosomal RNA
Rfam family: Bacterial small subunit ribosomal RNA
Source: RNAcentral
AAAUUGAAGAGUUUGAUCAUGGCUCAGAUUGAACGCUGGCGGCAGGCCUAACACAUGCAAGUCGAACGGUAACAGGAAGCAGCUUGCUGCUUCGCUGACGAGUGGCGGACGGGUGAGUAAUGUCUGGGAAACUGCCUGAUGGAGGGGGAUAACUACUGGAAACGGUAGCUAAUACCGCAUAACGUCGCAGGACCAAAGAGGGGGACCUUCGGGCCUCUUGCCAUCAGAUGUGCCCAGAUGGGAUUAGCUUGUUGGUGAGGUAACGGCUCACCAAGGCGACGAUCCCUAGCUGGUCUGAGAGGAUGACCAGCCACACUGGAACUGAGACACGGUCCAGACUCCUACGGGAGGCAGCAGUGGGGAAUAUUGCACAAUGGGCGCAAGCCUGAUGCAGCCAUGCCGCGUGUAUGAAGAAGGCCUUCGGGUUGUAAAGUACUUUCAGCGGGGAGGAAGGGGAUAAGGCUAAUAACCUUGUUCAUUGACGUUACCCGCAGAAGAAGCACCGGCUAACUCCGUGCCAGCAGCCGCGGUAAUACGGAGGGUGCAAGCGUUAAUCGGAAUUACUGGGCGUAAAGCGCACGCAGGCGGUCUGUCAAGUCGGAUGUGAAAUCCCCGGGCUCAACCUGGGAACUGCAUUCGAAACUGGCAGGCUUGAGUCUUGUAGAGGGGGGUAGAAUUCCAGGUGUAGCGGUGAAAUGCGUAGAGAUCUGGAGGAAUACCGGUGGCGAAGGCGGCCCCCUGGACAAAGACUGACGCUCAGGUGCGAAAGCGUGGGGAGCAAACAGGAUUAGAUACCCUGGUAGUCCACGCCGUAAACGAUGUCUACUUGGAGGUUGUGCCCUUGAGGCGUGGCUUCCGGAGCUAACGCGUUAAGUAGACCGCCUGGGGAGUACGGCCGCAAGGUUAAAACUCAAAUGAAUUGACGGGGGCCCGCACAAGCGGUGGAGCAUGUGGUUUAAUUCGAUGCAACGCGAAGAACCUUACCUGGUCUUGACAUCCACAGAACUUUCCAGAGAUGGAUUGGUGCCUUCGGGAACUGUGAGACAGGUGCUGCAUGGCUGUCGUCAGCUCGUGUUGUGAAAUGUUGGGUUAAGUCCCGCAACGAGCGCAACCCUUAUCCUUUGUUGCCAGCGGUCCGGCCGGGAACUCAAAGGAGACUGCCAGUGAUAAACUGGAGGAAGGUGGGGAUGACGUCAAGUCAUCAUGGCCCUUACGACCAGGGCUACACACGUGCUACAAUGGCGCAUACAAAGAGAAGCGACCUCGCGAGAGCAAGCGGACCUCAUAAAGUGCGUCGUAGUCCGGACUGGAGUCUGCAACUCGACUCCAUGAAGUCGGAAUCGCUAGUAAUCGUGGAUCAGAAUGCCACGGUGAAUACGUUCCCGGGCCUUGUACACACCGCCCGUCACACCAUGGGAGUGGGUUGCAAAAGAAGUAGGUAGCUUAACCUUCGGGAGGGCGCUUACCACUUUGUGAUUCAUGACUGGGGUGAAGUCGUAACAAGGUAACCGUAGGGGAACCUGC